GUGUCAGCCGCCGCGGUAAUACGUAGGGACCAAGCGUUGUUCGGAUUUACUGGGCGUAAAGGGCGCGUAGGCGGUGCGGUAAGUCACUUGUGAAAUCUCUGAGCUUAACUCAGAACGGCCAAGUGAUACUGCAGUACUAGAGUGCAGAAGGGGCAAUCAGAAUUCUUGGUGUAGCGGUGAAAUGCGUAGAUAUCAAGAGGAAUACCUGAGGUGAAGACGGGUUGCUAGGCUGACACUGACGCUGAGGCGCGAAAGCCAGGGGAGCAAACGGGAUUAGAAACCCUCGUAGUCC
Molecule: ribosomal RNA, 292 nt
Filed under: uncultured bacterium
Lineage: Bacteria
Description: partial 16S ribosomal RNA
Rfam family: Bacterial small subunit ribosomal RNA
Source: RNAcentral